ACGGAUGGGCAUGCGGCGCAUUAGCUGGUUGGCGGGGUAACGGCCCACCAAGGCGACGAUGCGUAGGGGUUCUGAGAGGAAGGUCCCCCACACUGGUACUGAGACACGGACCAGACUCCUACGGGAGGCAGCAGUGAGGAAUAUUGGUCAAUGGGCGAGAGCCUGAACCAGCCAAGUCGCGUGAGGGAGUACUGCCCUAUGGGUUGUAAACCUCUUUUGUCGGGGAGCAAAAGCCGGACGUGUCCGGCUGUGAGAGUACCCGAAGAAAAAGCAUCGGCUAACUCCGUGCCAGCAGCCGCGGUAAUACGGAGGAUGCGAGCGUUAUCCGGAUUUAUUGGGUUUAAAGGGUGCGCAGGCGGAUUUUUAAGUCAGCGGUCAAAUCGUGGGGCUCAACCCCAUCCAGCCGUUGAAACUGGGGAUCUAGAGUGUGCGAGAGGUAUGCGGAAUGCGUGGUGUAGCGGUGAAAUGCAUAGAUAUCACGCAGAACCCCGAUUGCGAAGGCAGCAUACCGGUGCACAACUGACGCUCAGGCACGAAAGCGUGGGUAUCGAACAGGAUUAGAUACCCUGGUAGUCCACGCAGUAAACGAUGAAUGCUACCUGUUUGGCCAGAUUGAUGGCUGAGCGGG
Molecule: ribosomal RNA, 628 nt
Filed under: uncultured bacterium
Lineage: Bacteria
Description: bacterial SSU rRNA
Rfam family: Bacterial small subunit ribosomal RNA
Source: RNAcentral